This 468-nucleotide ribosomal RNA is filed under the name uncultured bacterium. Its description in RNAcentral is "partial 16S ribosomal RNA". It matches the Rfam family "Bacterial small subunit ribosomal RNA", at positions 28 to 507 of the family's 1533-position model. The record is from RNAcentral.
GACGAACGCUGGCGGCGUGCUUAACACAUGCAAGUCGAACGGAAAGGCCCUGCUUUUGUGGGGUGCUCGAGUGGCGAACGGGUGAGUAACACGUGAGUAACCUGCCCUUGACUUUGGGAUAACUUCAGGAAACUGGGGCUAAUACCGGAUAGGAGCUCCUGCUCCAUGGUGGGGGUUGGAAAGUUUCGGCGGUUGGGGAUGGACUCGCGGCUUAUGAGCUUGUUGGUGGGGUAGUGGCUUACCAAGGCUUUGACGGGUAGCCGGCCUGAGAGGGUGACCGGCCACAUUGGGACUGAGAUACGGCGCAGACUGCUACGGGAGGCAGCAGUGGGGAAUAUUGCACAAUGGGCGGAAGCCUGAUGCAGCAACGCCGCGUGCGGGAUGACGGCCUUCGGGUUGUAAACCGCUUUCGCCUGUGACGAAGCGUGAGUGACGGUAAUGGGUAAAGAAGCACCGGCUAACUACGUG